This 566-nucleotide ribosomal RNA is filed under the name Haploporus latisporus. Its description in RNAcentral is "SSU rRNA". It matches the Rfam family "Bacterial small subunit ribosomal RNA", at positions 410 to 966 of the family's 1533-position model. Lineage: Eukaryota; Fungi; Basidiomycota; Agaricomycetes; Polyporales; Polyporaceae. The record is from RNAcentral.
GAAUUUUAGGAUUUUGACUAGCUUACUGAAUCAUAGAAUUUUUUAAAAUUCAUGAUGUCGUAAGGGAAAAUAAUGAUAAUACCUUACUAUGAGUGUUGUCCAAAUCUGGUGCCAGAAGACUCGGUAAGACCAGAAACGCAAACGUUAAUCAUCAUAAACAGGCGUAAAGGGUUAGUAGGCAGCUUUUAUCAGAUUAUGAAUUCAAAAUAAAGUAGUCUAAUUAAAAGCUAGAAUCAAAAAGAGGUUAUAGUGUAUAACGCCUAGAGGAGGGCUGAUAUCCAUAGAUCCUAGGCAGAAUACUAAGGGCGAAGGCCACUUUCCAUUAAUGAUUGACGCUGAGAAACGAAGGUUAGGGUAGGAAAUAGGAUUAGAUACCCCGGUACUCCUUUCUGUAAACGAUGAAUGGUAGUCAUUAGUUUAAUUAUUCACAAAAAAUAACUAGAGACGAAGUUAACACAAUAACCAUUCCGCCUUGUGAGUACUACUGCAAAGUAGAAAACAAAAAAAUUAGUCGGUCUCGAAGCAAACGGAGUGAAGCAUGUUAUUUAAUUCGAUAAAAUCCGCCA